RNAcentral lists this ribosomal RNA (464 nucleotides) under Veillonella parvula. RNAcentral's name for it is "bacterial SSU rRNA". It matches the Rfam family "Bacterial small subunit ribosomal RNA", at positions 28 to 466 of the family's 1533-position model. Lineage: Bacteria; Bacillati; Bacillota; Negativicutes; Veillonellales; Veillonellaceae. The record is from RNAcentral.
GACGAACGCUGGCGGCGUGCUUAACACAUGCAAGUCGAACGAAGAGCGACGGAAGCUUGCUUCUAUCAAUCUUAGUGGCGAACGGGUGAGUAACGCGUAAUCAACCUGCCCUUCAGAGGGGGACAACAGUUGGAAACGACUGCUAAUACCGCAUACGAUCUAAUCUCGGCAUCGAGGAUAGAUGAAAGGUGGCCUCUACAUGUAAGCUAUCACUGAAGGAGGGGAUUGCGUCUGAUUAGCUAGUUGGAGGGGUAACGGCCCACCAAGGCGAUGAUCAGUAGCCGGUCUGAGAGGAUGAACGGCCACAUUGGGACUGAGACACGGCCCAGACUCCUACGGGAGGCAGCAGUGGGGAAUCUUCCGCAAUGGACGAAAGUCUGACGGAGCAACGCCGCGUGAGUGAUGACGGCCUUCGGGUUGUAAAGCUCUGUUAAUCGGGACGAAAGGCCUUCUUGCGAAUAUUG